AGUGAACGCUGGCGGUAGGCCUAACACAUGCAAGUCGAACGACAGCACAGUAAGAGCUUGCUCUUACGGGUGUCGAGUGGCGGACGGUUGAGGAAUACAUCGGAAUCUACUUUUUCGUGGGGGAUAACGUAGGGAAACUUACGCGAAUACCGCAUACGACGUACGGGUGUGAGCAGGGGAUCUUCGGACCUUGCGCGAGUGAAUGAGCCGAUGUCGGAUUAGCUAGUUGGCGGGGUAAAGGCCCACCAAGGCGACGAUGGGUAGCUGGUCUGAGAGGAUGGUCAGACACACUGGAACUGAGACACGGCACAGACUCCUACGGGAGGAAGCAGUCGGGAAUAUUGGACAAUGGGGGCAAGCCUGAUCCAGCAAUACCGCGUGGGUGAAGAAGGCCUUCGGGUUGUAAAGUCCUUUUGUUGGGAAAGAAAAGCAGCAGGUUAAUACCCCGCUGUUAUGACGGUACCCAAAGAAUAAGCACCGGCUAACUUCGUG
RNAcentral lists this ribosomal RNA (492 nucleotides) under uncultured bacterium. RNAcentral's name for it is "partial 16S ribosomal RNA". It matches the Rfam family "Bacterial small subunit ribosomal RNA", at positions 29 to 507 of the family's 1533-position model. The record is from RNAcentral.